AUGUGCAUACCAGAUAAGAAAGGUGGCAUGGGUUUUAGAGAUAUACGUUGCUUUAACCUUGCAUUAUUGGCUAAACAAGCUUGUCAUCUCAUUGAUAACCCAGAUUCCCAAUGUGCAUAGAUCUUGAAGGAGAAAUAUUACCGAGAUGGUGAUCUUAUGUGUGCAACGUUGAAAAAGAAAGCUUCAUAUACUUGGCAAAGUAUUAUGGCUGGUGUUGAAACCUUGAAACUUGGGCAUAUAUGGAGAGUAGGGGAUGGGUAGAAAAUCAAUAUUUGGGAGGAUGAUUGGAUCCCACAAUCUCCAUCAAGGAAGGUGAUUACAACUAGAAACAACAUGCUGACUCGUGUGAGUGAUCUUAUAGACCCUGCAUUAGGCGAUUGGGAUGAACUACUGGUGAGGCAAAUGUUUUGGGAGAUGGAUGUCCAACGGAUCCUUGCAAUACCCCUUCCCUUGCAUGAAAUGAGAGAUUUCCUGGUGUGGAAUUGUACAAAAUCAGGGACUUUGCAGUGCGCUCGGCCUAUCAUUUUUUAUGGCAAUCCUAGUUUGGCCACAAGUUAUAGAAUUCUGGGACUCGAUUUGGAGCCUAUGGUGUCCAACUAA
This 600-nucleotide ribosomal RNA is filed under the name Triticum aestivum (bread wheat). RNAcentral's name for it is "partial small subunit ribosomal RNA". The record is from RNAcentral. Lineage: Eukaryota; Viridiplantae; Streptophyta; Magnoliopsida; Poales; Poaceae.